This 1127-nucleotide long non-coding RNA is filed under the name Homo sapiens (human). Its description in RNAcentral is "non-protein coding lnc-PXDC1-14:2". The record is from RNAcentral. Lineage: Eukaryota; Metazoa; Chordata; Mammalia; Primates; Hominidae.
UGGCAGGAAGCAGAGUGCUGGUCUUACACAACACUUUUUGUUGGUGUCAGCAUCAAAGGAAGAACACUGAAGCACGUAGGACAAGGCCUGAUCUUGUAUAACCUGAGUCUUCGGGAAAGAUGGUACAGACAGGAGCUACAAGACCUGAUCAUUUGUGUUGGCUCUGCCACUAACUGGAUGAACACUAACUGGAUAAAGAUGCUAGAAGUUAAUGAAAAAAAUAUUUAAAGUACUCAAGAGAAAGUAACUCUAAACCCACAAUUCUAUAUGUUUUUAACAACCAGUCAAAGGGGUAUUGGUAAGGUGGAAGUUGGGCACGUCAUUCCUCAGCUCACAUCAUUUUUAAAACUUUUUUUAAAAACAGCUUUAUUAAGAUACAACUUAAAAAAAUAAAAAAUAAAAAAGAUACAACUUAUAUGUCAUAAAAUUCACCCCUUGUAAGUGUAUAAUUUUGUUAUUUUUAGUAAAUUUAUAGACCUAUGCAACCAUCACCACAAUCCAGUUUUAAAACAUAUCCACCAUCCCAAAAUGUUCCCUUGUUCCACUUUGCAAUUAAUCCCUGCUACUACUAAUACCUCCAAGCUCUAGGCAGCCACGAAUCUAUUUUCUGUCUAAAUUUGCCUUUUCUGGACAUUUCAGAGAGAUGGACUCAUGCAAUCUGUAGUUUUUUUGCAUCUGGCUACUUCCAUAUGGCAUAACAUUUUUGAGAUCCAUCCAUGUUGUAGUAUGGAUUAGCAGUUUGUUCCUUUAUUUAUUUUUAUUUUUUGAGAUGGAGUUUCACUCGUGUUGCCCAGGCUGGAGUGCAAUGGCGUGAUCGCAGCUCACUGCAACCUCCACCUCCCAGAUUCAAGAGAUUCUCCUGCCUCAGCCGCCCGACUAGCUGGGAUUACAGGCAUGUGCCACCACGCCUGGCUAAUUUUCUGUAUUUUUAGUAGAGACAGGGUUUCCCCAUGUUGGCCAGGCUGGUCUUGAACUCCUGACCUCAGGUGAUCCACCCACCUUGGCCUCCGAAAGUUCUGGGAUUACAGGCGUGACCCACUGCACCCAGCUUAGUUUGUUCCUUGUUUAUUGCUGAAUAGUAUGCCAGUGUGUGGACAGGUCACAUUUUGUUAUCUGUGCACUAGCUG